CAGCCGCCACGGGAAUACGUAGGGAGCAAGCGUUGUUCGGAUUUACUGGGCGUAAAGGGCGCGUAGGCGGCGCGGUAAGUCACUUGUGAAAUCUCUGAGCUUAACUCAGAACGGCCAAGUGAUACUGCUGUGCUAGAGUGCGGAAGAGGCAACCGGAAUUCUUGGUGUAGCGGUGAAAUGCGUAGAUAUCAAGAGGAACACCUGAGGCGAAGGCGGGUUGCUGGGCCGACACUAACGCUGAUGCGCGAAAGCCAGGGGAGCAAACGGGAUUAGAUACCCGCGUAGUCCCUGUCUCUUAUAA
RNAcentral lists this ribosomal RNA (301 nucleotides) under uncultured bacterium. RNAcentral describes it as "partial 16S ribosomal RNA". It matches the Rfam family "Bacterial small subunit ribosomal RNA", at positions 509 to 809 of the family's 1533-position model. The record is from RNAcentral.